This 460-nucleotide ribosomal RNA is filed under the name uncultured bacterium. RNAcentral describes it as "partial 16S ribosomal RNA". It matches the Rfam family "Bacterial small subunit ribosomal RNA", at positions 338 to 795 of the family's 1533-position model. The record is from RNAcentral.
CCUACGGGAGGCUGCAGUGAGGAAUAUUGGUCAAUGGACGAGAGUCUGAACCAGCCAAGUAGCGUGAAGGAUGACUGCCCUAUGGGUUGUAAACUUCUUUUAUAUGGGAAUAAAAUGUUCCACGUGUGGGAUUUUGUAUGUACCAUAUGAAUAAGGAUCGGCUAACUCCGUGCCAGCAGCCGCGGUAAUACGGAGGAUCCGAGCGUUAUCCGGAUUUAUUGGGUUUAAAGGGAGCGUAGGUGGAUUGUUAAGUCAGUUGUGAAAGUUUGCGGCUCAACCAUAAAAUUGCAGUUGAAACUGGCAGUCUUGAGUACAGUAGAGGUGGGCGGAAUUCGUGGUGUAGCGGUGAAAUGCUUAGAUAUCACGAAGAACUCCGAUUGCGAAAGCAGUUCACUGGACUGCAACUGACACUGAGGCUCGAAAGUGUGGGUAUCAAACAGGAUUAGAUACCCCAGUAGUC